Molecule: RNA transcript, 2019 nt
Organism: Mauremys reevesii (Reeves's turtle)
Lineage: Eukaryota; Metazoa; Chordata; Testudines; Geoemydidae
Exons: 8
Source: RefSeq, a predicted model, not a curated record
CCUCAGCCCAGCUGCCUUUGUGAUCUCCCCAGACCCCCUCACCGCAGGGCUGAGAGAAAUGAAUCCUCUGACCAUUCCCCCUGUUUCCAGCAGGCUCUCGGUGCUCCAGCUCUUCAGGAAUCUCUUUGGGCUCAGGCAGAGCACGCAGGAGGGCCCAGAAACCAGAGCAGACGCCCAAGAGCAGGGGAACGUCGGCGACCUAGAAGAAAACAGCUCCCUGGUGCCUGCUGGGGCUGAGUCUGAGACCGGCGAGCCAGCAGGCAAAGAGCUAACGGGCGACCACCCGACUGACGAGCCCCGUGGAGAUGCAACAGGCGACCGCAUGGGGGAGAUCCUUGGAGAGCUGAAGGAUAUCAGCCUUGGGGGCACCCCUUCCAGCCAUGGCAGGAGAUCCCCUCCUAUGCUGGACCCCAGUGGCAUGGAGAUGGGAGACUCCGGUGACUGGGCCUUGUCAGACCUCUCUGAGUGCUGUAGCUGCAUUGACACCAGCGUGGAUGAGGAGGAGAUGCAGAGCAUGGGAAGUGGAGCAACAGGAGAGCCGUGCGGGCAAUGCUCUGAGACAGGAGAUGCAGGAGGAGCAUCUGCUGAGAAAUGGCCCUUGGGGAGCAGGCUCUCAGUGCUCCAGCUUAUUAGGAACCUCUUUGGGCUCAGGCAGAGCGUGCAGGAGUGCCCAGAAACCAGAGCAGAUGCACAAGAGAGCGGGGACAUCAGGGACCUAGAAGAAAACAGCUCCCUGGUGCCUGCUGGGGCUGAAUCUGAGACCAGCGAGCCAGAGGUCAAAGAGCUAACGGGCGACCACACGACCGAUGAGCCCCGUGGAGAUGCAACAGGCGACCACAUGGAGGAGAUCCUUGGAGAACUCAAGAAUAUCAGUCUUGGGGGUGCCCCUUCCAGCCAUGGCAGGAGAUCCCCUCCUAUGCUGUACCCCAGUGGCAUGGAGAUCGGAGACUCCGGUGGCUUUGUCAACACUGCUGUGGGCAAAGAUAAAACAGCCCAGAAUCCGUGCAGCGGAAUCUCUGGCAGGGAGGCAGAGAGGGUGGGAGAAGCUUCUGGUGACACAGGAACAUGGGGAAAGGCUGGGAUCUCCCAGGUUCUGCAUGCUGACAACGAAGGAAUCACACCGACUGCAGGACCCCUGGCAAUGACCCCCAAGGACUUCCAUGCCAAGGAGGAGCGAGAGCACCUCCUGAAAGAGGAUCUAAAUGGAGGAUCUCCGAAGGCAGAGCUGUCUCCAUGGAACAAACUCGUCAACAUGUACAAGCAGCGACAGAAGCUUCCUGUUCCUAAGGAAAACCCAGUGCAGCUAGAAAUGGAAGAGGGAUCCACUCUGAAUCUAACUGUUUAUGAAUUUGCAACACCCGAGCCUCAUCUCAUCUCUUCACAAUCCUCCAGUACUGCCCUGAUCUACAGGUUUCCUGAUGACGGCGCUGGGGAAGCUGUUGGGCACUUUGGGAGAGCCCAGGUAGACCUGAGGACAAAUGGACUGGGAGCUCCUGAAGAAGACUGAGGCGUGUUCCUGGAGUUAGCGCAGUGUUUAUAAAACACGUAGAGAUCCUGGGAGAAAGUUCAGCAUGCUAUAAAAUGAUUGGUGAAAGAAAGCAGCAGUCCCCAGGAGGAGGAAGUGCGAGCCUGCUCCUAGAAGAGAUGGGACAGUGGCCCCAAGACCAAGCUUAUGUUUUGAUCACGGUGAGUCUGCAAGCCCCCUUCAUCUAGCAGAUGAAAAUGAAGAAAGAAGACUGAGACCUGUUCUUUGGUCCUCACCAGGCUGGAGUCUGGGACAAGGCCUGUUAGCUGCAAGCUUGUUCCUGUUUCCUCUUUCAGUGUCUACGCCUUCCCCCUUUGAAUGUUUAUCCCCUUGCAUUCUCCCCUCCCUGCCACAUGAGGGAUGACUCCAUCUGCACUAGGCUGGCAUCCACUGUAUUUUUAGAGUAAGUGUUUUACGUUGAUUGAUUGUUCUCAGUUCCCCCUAAGCUCACAGACUCCUCCCUGCUUAUUAAAUGGAGUUCUGUGUUGAAUUAA